Molecule: non-coding RNA, 292 nt
Organism: Paramuricea clavata
Lineage: Eukaryota; Metazoa; Cnidaria; Anthozoa; Malacalcyonacea; Plexauridae
Source: the annotation of a GenBank genome assembly
CGGCAACGCGACGACGACAAUCAAAACAAACUUCAAAUAAAUUAUUGCGAAGAAGGGUUGUUAUGUAUUAUCCACUGCAUAUGAAUUGAAUUCAGUUUGAAGAGAUGAAAACAAAGGCUUUAUUGUUAAAAACGCUUCUGCUGAGCAAAUUUGUAGUUUUACUUGUCGCGUCUUGACAUGUUUGCGUUGUACACGAGACGUGAAAAUCUCUGGUUUGCCGUUGUAAAAAGCACUAACACAACGUCUCUAACUCCCGUGGGGCUUUUAAUUAUUCAUUUCUUUUGUACGAGAU